GAUGAACGCUGGCGGCGUGCCUAAUACAUGCAAGUAGAACGCUGAAGCUUGGUGCUUGCACCGAGCGGAUGAGUUGCGAACGGGUGAGUAACGCGUAGGUAACCUGCCUCUUAGCGGGGGAUAACUAUUGGAAACGAUAGCUAAUACCGCAUAAAAGUCGAUAUCGCAUGAUAUUGAUUUGAAAGGUGCAAAUGCAUCACUAAGAGAUGGACCUGCGUUGUAUUAGCUAGUUGGUGAGGUAACGGCUCACCAAGGCGACGAUACAUAGCCGACCUGAGAGGGUGAUCGGCCACACUGGGACUGAGACACGGCCCAGACUCCUACGGGAGGCAGCAGUAGGGAAUCUUCGGCAAUGGGGGCAACCCUGACCGAGCAACGCCGCGUGAGUGAAGAAGGUUGUCGGAUCGUAAAGCUCUGUUGUAAGAGAAGAACGAGUGUGAGAGUGGAAAGUUCACACUGUGACGGUAACUGACCACAAAGCGACGGCUAACUACGUG
Molecule: ribosomal RNA, 497 nt
Filed under: uncultured bacterium
Lineage: Bacteria
Description: partial 16S ribosomal RNA
Rfam family: Bacterial small subunit ribosomal RNA
Source: RNAcentral